Triticum dicoccoides is the source of this 841-nucleotide long non-coding RNA. RefSeq lists it as uncharacterized. The record is from RefSeq and is a predicted model, not a curated record. The transcript has 6 exons. NCBI's taxonomy places the organism in Eukaryota, Viridiplantae, Streptophyta, Magnoliopsida, Poales, Poaceae.
ACCCAACCCCUCUGCUUUCGAGGCCUCCGACCACCAUCCCUCCAUGGCUCCCCGCCCAGUGCCUUCCAAGGUCACCCAUGGAUCUGUACCCACCGGCCACCACCAUCCAUGGCUCCUCCGGUAUUGGGACACGACGUCGUCCCAUCUCCGUUCUAGACAUCACCAUGUGACACCAACGCCUGGCCUGCUCCUCCACCACGGCCCAGCUCGGACCACGCCGCUAUCGAUGCCGCCAUUGAGAAUCCACCCCAACUCGAGCAGUUCACCGGCGUCAUGGAGGAAGCACCGAGCAGCCGCAUUGCAAAUAUGAGGAACAUCAUCAGUGCAAGAAGUCCAGAUUCACUCGACGGCGAGAAAUAGUCUCAUAUUUUUGUUCCAAAUAGUAUGUACCACUCCCCACUUUGAUACUUAUGAACACCCAUCUGAGAUCUCCUUUUCCUUGUUACAGUUCAUCCAGAUCAGUAGUACGAUUUAAGGUUCAUGAUCCAGCUAUAAGAGAGGUGUAAUAUCCUCUGCCCUUGACAUGGGCAAGCAUACAAUUGGUUGUUCCUGCUGGAGAAGGUUUUUGGGAAGAAUUAAACGAACACCAUCAGUGCAACAUAGAGGCAAAAGCAGGUGGUUGAGUUUGCAAUUCAUUCUUAUUAGGAGCAAAAUUCAAGAGUCGGGAUCUAUGAGAUAUGCAAGAGCCUCUAAUCAAGGGUAACCUUGAAGAGAGGCUUGCAACUUAAGCUGUAACCAAAGAUUAUAGAAAAUGAGGUCUCUUCUUAUGUACAUUUAGUUGAUGCACUUGUGUGUUUUUAGAUGUUGCACCUCUGUUUUCAUUGACCUUCAAUUCAUGUAU